Molecule: ribosomal RNA, 1605 nt
Filed under: Salmonella enterica subsp. enterica serovar Enteritidis
Lineage: Bacteria; Pseudomonadati; Pseudomonadota; Gammaproteobacteria; Enterobacterales; Enterobacteriaceae
Description: partial 23S ribosomal RNA
Rfam family: Bacterial large subunit ribosomal RNA
Source: RNAcentral
GGGUUGUGAGGUUAAGCGACUAAGCGUACACGGUGGAUGCCCUGGCAGUCAGAGGCGAUGAAGGGCGUGCUAAUCUGCGAUAAGCGCCGGUAAGGUGAUAUGAACCGUUAUAACCGGCGAUACCCGAAUGGGGAAACCCAGUGUGACUCGUCACACUAUCAUUAACUGAAUCCAUAGGUUAAUGAGGCGAACCGGGGGAACUGAAACAUCUAAGUACCCCGAGGAAAAGAAAUCAACCGAGAUUCCCCCAGUAGCGGCGAGCGAACGGGGAGGAGCCCAGAGCCUGAAUCAGCAUGUGUGUUAGUGGAAGCGUCUGGAAAGGCGCGCGAUACAGGGUGACAGCCCCGUACACAAAAGCGCAUGUGCUGUGAGCUCGAUGAGUAGGGCGGGACACGUGGUAUCCUGUCUGAAUAUGGGGGGACCAUCCUCCAAGGCUAAAUACUCCUGACUGACCGAUAGUGAACCAGUACCGUGAGGGAAAGGCGAAAAGAACCCCGGCGAGGGGAGUGAAAAAGAACCUGAAACCGUGUACGUACAAGCAGUGGGAGCCCCACCACCAAAGCAUUUGCUGUACCGCGUUGACGGAGCGAAGCGACGUCAAACCGAUAAAACAGCAGUGUAAAGUGAGCCGCAGGGCGCUUUGCGCGACAGCGCAAAGGCAGGCGGUUUCGCGUAGCGAAAGCGAAUGCUUUGGGGUGGGGUGACUGCGUACCUUUUGUAUAAUGGGUCAGCGACUUAUAUUCUGUAGCAAGGUUAACCGAAUAGGGGAGCCGGAGGGAAACCGAGUCUUAAUUGGGCGUUAAGUUGCAGGGUAUAGACCCGAAACCCGGUGAUCUAGCCAUGGGCAGGUUGAAGGUUGGGUAACACUAACUGGAGGACCGAACCGACUAAUGUUGAAAAAUUAGCGGAUGACCUGUGGCUGGGGGUGAAAGGCCAAUCAAACCGGGAGAUAGCUGGUUCUCCCCGAAAGCUAUUUAGGUAGCGCCUCGUGAAUUCAUCUCCGGGGGUAGAGCACUGUUUCGGCUAGGGGGCCAUCCCGGCUUACCAACCCGAUGCAAACUGCGAAUACCGGAGAAUGUUAUCACGGGAGACACACGGCGGGUGCUAACGUCCGUCGUGAAGAGGGAAACAACCCAGACCGCCAGCUAAGGUCCCAAAGUCAUGGUUAAGUGGGAAACGAUGUGGGAAGGCCCAGACAGCCAGGAUGUUGGCUUAGAAGCAGCCAUCAUUUAAAGAAAGCGUAAUAGCUCACUGGUCGAGUCGGCCUGCGCGGAAGAUGUAACGGGGCUAAACCAUGCACCGAAGCUGCGGCAGCGACACUGUGUGUUGUUGGGUAGGGGAGCGUUCUGUAAGCCUGCGAAGGUGGCCUGUGAGGGUUGCUGGAGGUAUCAGAAGUGCGAAUGCUGACAUAAGUAACGAUAAAGCGGGUGAAAAGCCCGCUCGCCGGAAGACCAAGGGUUCCUGUCCAACGUUAAUCGGGGCAGGGUGAGUCGACCCCUAAGGCGAGGCCGAAAGGCGUAGUCGAUGGGAAACGGGUUAAUAUUCCCGUACUUGGUGUUACUGCGAAGGGGGGACGGAGAAGGCUAUGUUGGCCGGGCGACGGUU